Molecule: ribosomal RNA, 557 nt
Filed under: uncultured bacterium
Lineage: Bacteria
Description: bacterial SSU rRNA
Rfam family: Bacterial small subunit ribosomal RNA
Source: RNAcentral
ACGGGCGAGUAACGCGUGGGAAUCUACCCAUCUCUACGGAAUAACGCAUGGAAACGUGUGCUAAUACCGUAUACGUCCUUCGGGAGAAAGAUUUAUCGGAGAUGGAUGAGCCCGCGUUGGAUUAGCUAGUUGGUGGGGUAAAGGCCUACCAAGGCGACGAUCCAUAGCUGGUCUGAGAGGAUGAUCAGCCACACUGGGACUGAGACACGGCCCAGACACCUACGGGAGGCAGCAGUGGGGAAUAUUGGACAAUGGGCGCAAGCCUGAUCCAGCCAUGCCGCGUGAGUGAUGAAGGCCCUAGGGUUGUAAAGCUCUUUCACCGGUGAAGAUAAUGACGGUAACCGGAGAAGAAGCCCCGGCUAACUUCGUGCCAGCAGCCGCGGUAAUACGAAGGGGGCUAGCGUUGUUCGGAUUUACUGGGCGUAAAGCGCACGUAGGCGGACUAUUAAGUCAGGGGUGAAAUCCCGGGGCUCAACCCCGGAACUGCCUUUGAUACUGGUAGUCUUGAGUUCGAGAGAGGUGAGUGGAAUUCCGAGUGUAGAGGUGAAAUUCGUAGA